AUGAACGCUGGCGGCGUGCCUAAUACAUGCAAGUCGAGCGAACAGACGAGGAGCUUGCUCCUCUGACGUUAGCGGCGGACGGGUGAGUAACACGUGGAUAACCUACCUAUAAGACUGGGAUAACUUCGGGAAACCGGAGCUAAUACCGGAUAAUAUAUUGAACCGCAUGGUUCAAUAGUGAAAGACGGUUUUGCUGUCACUUAUAGAUGGAUCCGCGCCGCAUUAGCUAGUUGGUAAGGUAACGGCUUACCAAGGCGACGAUGCGUAGCCGACCUGAGAGGGUGAUCGGCCACACUGGAACUGAGACACGGUCCAGACUCCUACGGGAGGCAGCAGUAGGGAAUCUACCGCAAUGGGCGAAAGCCUGACGGAGCAACGCCGCGUGAGUGAUGAAGGUCUUCGGAUCGUAAAACUCUGUUAUUAGGGAAGAACAAAUGUGUAAGUAACUAUGCACGUCUUGACGGUACCUAAUCAGAAAGCCACGGCUAACUACGUG
Molecule: ribosomal RNA, 496 nt
Filed under: uncultured bacterium
Lineage: Bacteria
Description: partial 16S ribosomal RNA
Rfam family: Bacterial small subunit ribosomal RNA
Source: RNAcentral